Molecule: non-coding RNA, 216 nt
Organism: Pelobates cultripes (western spadefoot toad)
Lineage: Eukaryota; Metazoa; Chordata; Amphibia; Anura; Pelobatidae
Source: the annotation of a GenBank genome assembly
AGGGGGUCCAGUCAGUGGUUUUGUAUAUGUUCUGAUGGCAGCCCGGAUCACCUAAUCCUCUCCCACCUGCAUUAAGAUUGCUGCAUGCAGUGAUUUGCUGAGCCACGGUAUGUGCAGCGCGUAGGUUGGCUCUCAGUCUCUGAGUAGGAAAUGGAGCUCAGUCUAUAUUUGUCCAAUAUGGACAAAUUGAUAUCAGGCAGCCGGAUUGAGAAAUCC